AUCCUUUUGUAGUUCACAAAUGUGAUGAUCGGGUUUUCAUGUGUAUGUGUUGGAUGUGCCCUACUCAACCCUUGUUACAAAGUUAUCAUCUGUCUGGCA
Pongo abelii (Sumatran orangutan) is the source of this 99-nucleotide small nucleolar RNA. NCBI's taxonomy places the organism in Eukaryota, Metazoa, Chordata, Mammalia, Primates, Hominidae. The record is from Ensembl.